CCAGGCGAGCAGGGGAAGAGAGCAGCAAGACGCGUGGAGACGCAGCCCGCGCCCGCAGCUGUGGAGACGCGGGGCCCCAGGAGGCAGAGCAAAGAACGCAGCAGCGACAGGAGACCCUCUGAGAAGACUUGAGCACAAUUAAAAGAAUUCUGCCUCUGACCAUGAAGAAAGGCCUGAGAAUCCCUUUGAUGACUAGACAAACAGAAUUGACUGCGCAUAGAACAGCCCUUGCUUAUGGAAAUCCAAGCUCCACACCUCUUACUAAAUGAAGUGAUAAAGACUCUGAGUUCACCUCCUCCAGGAAGGAUUCCCUGUAUGCCAUCCUCCACUGGGCUCUAUUACAGCACAGGCAACUUGACUGGAAACAGUUCAGUUAACUACUGCAUUAAAAAGUCACUUGUUGGGGCCGGCCGAGUGGCAAAUUGGUUAAGAGUUGGCUUGGGACGC
This is a long non-coding RNA of Hipposideros armiger (great roundleaf bat), 447 nucleotides long. RefSeq lists it as uncharacterized. The record is from RefSeq and is a predicted model, not a curated record. NCBI's taxonomy places the organism in Eukaryota, Metazoa, Chordata, Mammalia, Chiroptera, Hipposideridae. The transcript is spliced from 4 exons.